CUUGGAAUAACCCCCGUGUGCGUAUGAGUGUGUGUGUGCGUGUGUAUGUGUCUCCUGAUUUCACCCUGACACACGCACACAUACACACUCACAACACAGUCAGACGCACACAUUUACUGUCUGUCUGACUGCAGGAGUGGAGCUCUGGCAGCAGAAAUCCGCUCGCAGAGGAUUCCUUCCAAUUUUACGCGCAACUUUUCCUCGCCGGCUUCUUCUCUGCGGCGUUUCCAGCGCUCCCCCCUCGAUUGUUGUGGAUUUCUAACAACCACCCCCUGGCUGUUUGUAGCGGAGCGACGAGCGAAGCUCGCCCGGAAUCGGAUCUGCUGUCACCGGGCUGCUUGUUGUCAUUUUCGCACGGAGACGCGCAGCCGGAGCGCAGACAGAAGGGGCAAUUUGUGGACUUGAUAAACGGACCAGAAAGCAAACGGUUGCACCAGGAUGGCCACAUAAGGACACUUUCUGUCGGGACUCCCAUUGAAACCAGUCUGACAGAGCGCAGACCGAAAGGUAAGCCGUGCCGGCAUCUCAUCCUGAUUUCAUGACGGCCUUUUAGACGUUCCAAGGUUUUUUUUCUGGACAGUGGACUGUGCGGUUUGUGUUGCAUAAUGUGGGC
This is a long non-coding RNA of Astatotilapia calliptera (eastern happy), 613 nucleotides long. Lineage: Eukaryota; Metazoa; Chordata; Actinopteri; Cichliformes; Cichlidae. The record is from Ensembl.